UGCCCUCCGUCAUGUUUAAUUUAUAGGUUUACAUUUCUUUAACCAACAAUGGCCGACAAAUUGAAAUCAGAGGCGCUUAGGAAGCAGAGCACGGCAGAGCAACAGGAAGGGCAUCUCGGGGAUCCUUCAAAUAAUCAGCGAGAUGAGAAACCCAAGGAAAGGUAUGCAGAAUAGGCUGGAGCCAGGAGACCUGACUGGUCUGGAGGGUUGAUACACUGAUAACAAGUCUGUGAUGUAUUUAGGUGCUAAGCCAUUCAGGGAUUUAUAGACUAACAAAAGUAUUUUAAAGUC
Fundulus heteroclitus (mummichog) is the source of this 291-nucleotide long non-coding RNA. RefSeq lists it as uncharacterized. NCBI's taxonomy places the organism in Eukaryota, Metazoa, Chordata, Actinopteri, Cyprinodontiformes, Fundulidae. The record is from RefSeq and is a predicted model, not a curated record. The transcript has 3 exons.